ACGAAGGGGGCUAGCGUUGUUCGGAUUUACUGGGCGUAAAGCGUACGUAGGCUGAUUGACAAGUUAGGGGUGAAAUCCCAGAGCUCAACUCUGGAACUGCCUCUAAAACUGUUGGUCUCGAGUCCGGAAGAGGUGAGUGGAACUCCUAGUGUAGAGGUGGAAUUCGUAGAUAUUAGGAAGAACACCAGUGGCGAAGGCGGCUCACUGGUCCGGUACUGACGCUGAGGUACGAAAGCGUGGGGAGCAAACAGG
RNAcentral lists this ribosomal RNA (252 nucleotides) under uncultured bacterium. Its description in RNAcentral is "partial 16S ribosomal RNA". It matches the Rfam family "Bacterial small subunit ribosomal RNA", at positions 525 to 776 of the family's 1533-position model. The record is from RNAcentral.